AUGUCUCUGCGAGUGACACGGAUGUAUAGCAAUUUGCAAUUAAAAACGUGAUUAUUUGUCUCUCUGCAAUUAAACCAGUGACAGAUUUUAAACAAAUACAUGUCUGUCAUUGAACAAACCCAUGCCAUGGUUAGAUAAUGGAAAAACACACCAAUCUCUUUCAGAAUUUCUUUAUACAAUAAACGCUCAUUUACCAACAUUUCUGAACAUGGAUGUAUUCUGUUUUGGAAUUAAUCUCUUGAAAUGUAUUCACAUUUAGUGAAACAUGAGAUAUAAUGAAAGUACUCUAUGUUUGUUUCUUUUGUAGAGCACAAAUAUUGUCAAGCAAUGGGGAAGACCACAUUGAGAACUGUAAUUGUCUGUGUAUCCACAGUGUAUAGUGCUUUAGGUUGUGUAGUGACAGGCCCAGACCAGAAGAAGGUUCCUGUGGGCUCUAAUGUUCGACUGUCCUGCGACCUCACUCAGUGUUUGAAAAGUCUGGGACAUCACCAAAUCAGUGCGGAGUGGGAGUUCAUUGACAAGGGCUCAAUGGAUAAAGCCCGGCACUCUCUCAUAUACCACUACCAUAACCAAACUGUCACCGUUGAACCCAGAGUGUCUCUGGUUGGGAACAUCUCUGAAGGUGACUUCUCGCUCCUGCUGCUGUCGGUGACAGUCCAAAGUAGUGGCACCUACCUGUGUCGCCUGCGUUCUCCACAUGGCUAUUCAGACAUCCAUGAGAGUCACACACAGGUCACAGUGGUGGAGAGAUCAGGGCAGCACAGGAGUUUCCCAGGAGAUCUCCAUAAACCUGGUGUAAACCAUCCUGAUUGGCUGUUGCCUCUCUGCUGCGUGCUUUUUUCACUCUUCCUGGUGGGCGGAGUCACAGUGGGAAUAUGCGUGUGUCGGAGGAGGUCACCGCGGCAACAAAACGACAAGUGUCACAUCCAGGUGAACGUAACACGCGGAGAAGACACACGGGAAGCCAAUGGAAACAAACUGUGUAACAUUUCCCUCUGUAACACGGACUGUACCUGCUCACUCUAACACGACCACAGGACACAAACUGCUAUGUCACGCUCCAGAGGCUCAGGGCCCCGCCCCCUCCCACACCCUCUAGAGGAGAGGGCAUCUACGUUACCAUGCACGGCACUCCGGCUGGGCCUUCAGGUGUCCAUUCCAAGCCCCAGACUCACCCCAGCAGAAAGACUCUCCCAGAGGAGUGGCGGCAACAGGAAAUACCCACAAAGCCCCAACACUGCCCUUGAACACCUCCAACCAACCCCUCCUCAGAAGACUCAGACACAGGGAACUGCUGUGUUGAGACUAUCAGCUCGCCGAUUUCAAAUCCACCAUUGUUCCUUUGCGCCAUUGCCGAAGAACCACUGUGUUUGGUUCAUUUCAAAAGGGGUGAAAAUCUGUUACUUUGGAAGAGAAUCAAGAACCACCUAUAUCCAAAUUGAUCUCUGACACUAUAAUCAGAGUGGUUAUUGAAGUUAGGAAAAAGAAGAUUCUUAUAAUUGAGUUAUAUCAAGAUAACGUAUUACGAUUACUUAGAAGAUCCUUCCUUCUUGCUAAUAGUCCCCUGGGUGCAGAGGAGCCCUCUCAGCUCUUAAGUGUAACCCUAACAGAGAUUAAACAGUUAUUAUUGUUGACCGGUACCGAUUUUAAAAACAGGAAGUGGGGAGAGAGGUAAUCGUGCACAUGGUUUCAUCCACCAGCUGUAACACUCUGUAGCAAUUACCCUGGGGACAUCCCACAGGAUAUAUACAGGACAUUCACAGGACAUUGCAUAGGACAUUCACAAACCAUGCACAGGACAAUCCAUUACAUGUGCCCUCCCUAUAGAUACUUUUUUGCAAGGGUGUGAUUUGUUUUUCCUGACUUACUGUCUUGGUGUGAAGUUUGUAAGUUGUUUUUUUAUCGC
Molecule: RNA transcript, 1906 nt
Organism: Oncorhynchus tshawytscha (Chinook salmon)
Lineage: Eukaryota; Metazoa; Chordata; Actinopteri; Salmoniformes; Salmonidae
Exons: 7
Source: RefSeq, a predicted model, not a curated record